This 257-nucleotide unclassified non-coding RNA is filed under the name Hevea brasiliensis (rubber tree). Lineage: Eukaryota; Viridiplantae; Streptophyta; Magnoliopsida; Malpighiales; Euphorbiaceae. The record is from RNAcentral.
AUCAUCAUCAUCUUUUUCGAUAUUACUGGAUGUGGCCUCUCUAUUUACAACUGAUUGGUUUGACAAUUGCUUAGCAAAAGCUUUUGUGGCUUAUCUUGCUCAGUCGAGAGCUACGGAUAUUGUCAAUAACAAGCAUUUGCAGUUCUUAAGAAAUUCCUUAGUUGACUUAUGCUCCCUAGAUGUUCAAAAAUCAUUGUCUAAAGCCACCGUGUCUGUCCGUCAGCUUGCAAAAGUAUUACAGUGGGGUUUGCGUACAA